CGUCUUCAACUUGUUGCGGGCAAAUCCAAUGGAUGUGCGCGUCGAUGCCGCCCGGCGUCACAAUGCGCCCUUCACCAGCAAUGGCUUCGGUACCCGGCCCGAUGAUGAUGUCCACAUUCGGCUGGGUAUCGGGGUUGCCCGCUUUGCCGAUGGCGACGAUGCGCCCACCCCUGAUGCCGAUAUCGGCCUUGAUGAUGCCCCAGUGAUCGACGAUCAAGGCGUUGGUGAUGACGGUGUCCACGGCCCCUUCGGCGCGCGACAUUUGCGAUUGGCCCAUGCCGUCGCG
RNAcentral lists this small RNA (286 nucleotides) under Magnetovibrio blakemorei. RNAcentral's name for it is "magnetite-containing magnetic vibrio 5' ureB small RNA". It matches the Rfam family "5' ureB small RNA". The record is from Rfam by way of RNAcentral. Lineage: Bacteria; Pseudomonadati; Pseudomonadota; Alphaproteobacteria; Rhodospirillales; Magnetovibrionaceae.